GGGGAAUAUUGCGCAAUGGGGGAAACCCUGACGCAGCAAUACCGCGUGAGUGAAGAAGGUUUUCGGAUCGUAAAGCUCUGUUAUUGGGGAAGAAAAAAAGACGGUACCCAAGAAGAAAGUCCCGGCUAACUACGUGCCAGCAGCCGCGGUAAUACGUAGGGGACAAGCGUUGUCCGGAUUUACUGGGCGUAAAGGGCACGCAGGCGGUUUUUUAAGUCAGAUGUGAAAGGUACCGGCUCAACCGGUGACAUGCAUUUGAAACUGAAAGACUUGAGUAUUGGAGAGGCAAGUGGAAUUCCUAGUGUAGCGGUGAAAUGCGUAGAUAUAGGUAAGAAGGCCGGUGGGGAAGCCGAUCUCCUGGGUUGACUCUGACACUGAGGUUCGAAAGCUAGGGGAGCAAACC
This 403-nucleotide ribosomal RNA is filed under the name uncultured Acetobacterium sp. RNAcentral's name for it is "bacterial SSU rRNA". It matches the Rfam family "Bacterial small subunit ribosomal RNA", at positions 356 to 774 of the family's 1533-position model. Lineage: Bacteria; Bacillati; Bacillota; Clostridia; Eubacteriales; Eubacteriaceae. The record is from RNAcentral.